GGGAAUCUUCCGCAAUGGGCGAAAGCUUGACGGAGCAACGCCGCGUGAGUGAUGAAGGCCUUCGGGUCGUAAAGCUCUGUCCUAAGGGAAGAACACCUCAGUAGAUAACAUCUGCUGGGAUUGACGGUACCUUUGGAGGAAGCCUCGGCUAAUUACGUGCCAGCAGCCGCGGUAAUACGUAAGAGGCAAGCGUUGUCCGGAAUCACUGGGCGUGAAGGGUGCGCAGGCGGUCUAGUAAGUCAAGAGUGAAAUCCAUCGGCUCAACCGGUGAACUGCUUUUGAAACUACUAGACUUGAGAAUAGGAGAAGAGAGUGGAAUUCCUGGUGUAGUGGUGAAAUACGUAGAUAUCAGGAAGAAUACCAAUGGCGAAAGCAGCUCUCUAGCCUAAUUCUGACGCUGAGGUACGAAAGCUAGGGUAUCAAAAGGGAUUAGAUACCCCUGUAGUC
Molecule: ribosomal RNA, 447 nt
Filed under: uncultured Bacillota bacterium
Lineage: Bacteria; Bacillati; Bacillota
Description: bacterial SSU rRNA
Rfam family: Bacterial small subunit ribosomal RNA
Source: RNAcentral